CGUAGGCGGCUAUUUAAGUCGGAUGUGAAAGCCCCGGGCUCAACCUGGGAACUGCAUCCGAUACUGGGUAGCUAGAAUGCAGUAGAGGGAGGUGGAAUUUCCGGUGUAGCGGUGAAAUGCGUAGAGAUCGGAAGGAACACCAGUGGCGAAGGCGGCCUCCUGGACUGACAUUGACGCUGAGGUGCGAAAGCGUGGGGAUCAAACA
Molecule: ribosomal RNA, 205 nt
Filed under: uncultured bacterium
Lineage: Bacteria
Description: partial 16S ribosomal RNA
Rfam family: Bacterial small subunit ribosomal RNA
Source: RNAcentral